Molecule: long non-coding RNA, 4210 nt
Organism: Gadus macrocephalus (Pacific cod)
Lineage: Eukaryota; Metazoa; Chordata; Actinopteri; Gadiformes; Gadidae
Exons: 2
Source: RefSeq, a predicted model, not a curated record
GUUUUCAUGGGAGUUGACCAACUAAUGAGUUCCGCUUCACUAUAAAAUGUAAUCUGGACACCGUGGAAAGAGCGGUAUAUUUGAACUGGGACAUCUGCUUGGAAGGGUCAGACCAUGUGACCCAGAAAGCCUUUGACUGGGAAAGCUCUUAACGAGCCUUUGAGUACACUGAUCGUUUCAUCAGCUUCAAACUCACAGCUUUACAGUAGUGACUACACCCACAAGCCCACUGACGCUGAAGAAAACCUUGAACUGAGAGGUUAGGAAUGGGCCAGACACAAAUGCGAAGGCAGGAACUAUUUCAUAAUGUAUUUUCUACAAACCCCAAAUAGUUAUUUUAUUGUUAUGUUAUUUUUCUAGGUAGUGUUUAAGUAGGCUAUUUCCUCUAAACAAAAAACCAAAAAAAAACUAUGAUUGGAGAUAAGUGGGUUAUCUGCUGUAUUUGUGUAUAAAUAAAACCUUUAGUUUAGAAUGACAAGUACCCUACAAGAUAGUCUAGUUAUACAUUCCUAAAUAUCGUUCGUGAGACUCUGUGCUCUUCCUAUGCAGGUCCUCCUCUGUGAACUGAGCCAGGGUUUCCCCGAAUGCCCGAGGCCCACUGCCAGCGGGCCGGUCCCCCACCACCCCUUCACUCCUCCCCCUUCUAUCGAGGUUGACUUGCUCUGACUAAGCUCGCCCAACGACGUGGACAGCAAAAUGUGGUCUUUAUCAUUUUUUUUUUCUUUUGGCCCGGGACUGCUUUUGUGCCCGUCUGCGGUUCCCUCUGUGCUCGCCCCAGAACGGCUUACAUCAGCACAUUUCACUGCUUUGAUCCCAUGUGGAUGGAAAAAAAAGAGACGGGGAGAAAAAAGUGAAUCCGUUUUUUUUCUCCCUCCCGCUUCUUUCUAUGCCUUUCAGCACUGACACAUCAUCAUAGCCCUGUGGCGUCAAGCGGGACACUUGGAGAGAUGUGUUAGACAGACAGUGAACCCGUUGCACAUUUGAUGAGGUAACACCAAUAAUACUAUCAGUACUGAUUCUCAUGACGACAAAGGUAGGCUCAUUUCAUAUCGUGCCGAUUCACAAUUUCCAGACAUCUCCAACUUGAGUGUGAUUGAUUGGACAUUUGGGGAUGUUUUGCUGCCCUUUUGUGGAGCUUUAAAACAUCCACAAAUAUAGACAACAUAUGACCUCUUGGCACACGGUCGAUUCAUAUUCUCUGGAACUUCCUUAGGAAGUUGGAGGAGGGAAAUGGAAAAGGCAGGUGUUUCCAGCACAUGUGCACGUAUGCUUUUUCCUGCAUGUGUAGAUGAAUGUCAGUGACUUUUGUCACAAGCAAGGGAUCCAAAUCUGGUGGUUAGGAUCCCACUCGUUCAGGUAACCCAUUCCGUGUCAUGGGACGACCUCUGAGGAGGCUGGAGGGGAUUCAUCUCCUCCAGGCCCGUCUGUCUGACCCACUGCACCCUCACCCUGCUCCCCGUCUGUCUGUCUGACCCACUGCACCCUCACCCUGCUCCCCGGCUGUCUGUCUGACUCACUGCACCCUCACCCUGCUCCCCGGCUGUCUGUCUGACCCACUGCACCCUCACCCUGCUGUCUGUCUGACCCACUGCACCCUCACCCUGCUCCCCGGCUGUCUGUCUGACCCACUGCACCCUCACCCUGCUGUCUGUCUGACCCACUGCCCCCUCACCCUGCUGUCUGUCUGACCCACUGCACCCUCACCCUGCUCCCCGGCUGUCUGUCAGUGGCCCCGGGAGCUGGGUUCCAAUGUGAUCCCUAUAGUCCUACAGUAUGUGACGGGAGGGUUGAGACAGACCACUGCGCACAUGAAUUUGCCUUAGUAGAGAGGGGGAGAAAGUGAGAUUUUGAAACUAUACAACCCAAGAUAAUCCUCUUUGCUCCCGACUUCCCCGUUUCUCCGCCGUUGAAAAGUGUUAUUCAUUCACAGGUAUGAUUGACAGGCAAGGUGGAAUACCCCAACCAAUCAGGGAAGCGAAGCCCUGAUUGGGCACAAAUGAGCCGGGAGUGGUCCAAGAUCAAAAUGGACUCAUACAGAUGCAUUUCACUCACUGAUAGCUGAGGCAUGGCUAUGCCAUUUCUCACAAAUGCGAAGUUGCAUAUCCAUGCAUCAGAUAAUGUCAUACUAUAAUAUCCUGCACAAAUAUAUUUAAAGAUGAAUAAUGUCUAGUAAUGUAAUGUGGGGAAUGAAUGUGACAUAGUAGACACAAUAAAAAUGGUUGUACCUUCCAUGUGCCAACACAGACUGAAAAGGACAGCCAAUAGAAAAUGAUUCAAAUCAUGACUCUGAACUUUCAUGAACGCACAUCGAGUGAUAAAGGGAAAUCUUUCUCCCAAGUGUUGAAAGAGAAAGUUGUAAAUAGGCUCCAUUUUACUGAGCCUUCCCGACCUUGAAAAAAUAAAACCGGUAUAUAUAACGAGUAAACCACAGACGCAAGCCGCUGUGGAUGAAAACAGGAACAUUGGCGUCACAUGCCUCGGCGCCCGAGGUCUUUGACAAGCCCAGCCACCCACCCAUGGAACUCCACACAAUGAUCCAUGGAAAGGGAGACAUUUCCUGUGUGCUGUAAUCGUUUGCUCCUAACUCUUUGGCUUGGGGGUAGUGUGCAGGCAGGCCACCAUAAUAUAUCACUGUUGUCCUACCCUAGAUGUUCAUUGUCUCAUAGUCCGUCUUUCCCAGAAUUCCUUGGCUGGACAUAGCCAGUGUGUAAUAACUCGCUGAGAACAACUGCAAUGAGAUAUGAUUUAUGAGUCAUCUGAAAGAAUGCCAUUCUACAUUUAUUAUUGGAGAAUGGAAUAACCUGAGCCGAGUUUAGUAGAAGUAGAUUGAAUUCGGAUAGGAUUCAUUUAUUGACUAAUCAUGUAACUCAUGUACAAAAUGUUCUUCAAUACUAAUUACAUUUAAUAGGCCAAAAUGUCAGAUGUUGAUAAAUAUAAAUAAAUAUCUCCAAGGAUUUUUGCAUGACAUGGAUUUGAUUAAUUUGUAAUUAUUUUUAAACACCACAAUAACUCAAAUGUUAAUUUCCGAUAAAUGUUUCGUUAUAAAUACGCAUGAAAAGGAUUUGAUACAAUCUUAUAAUUUCUGCCGAUUUGCCGAAGGAAAGAAAAUACAAAUAACCCACAAAUCUUCCCCAGCAAUCGAGGCCUAGGGCCCUUAAUUGCUCCAUCAGUCUAACCAUCUAACGCUAUGAGGAAUAUCAAAUAGCAAUCCCUUGUUCUCGUCUGUUUAUGUCCUUGUUUUUUGUGCAAUGGGAAGUGGCAACAUUGGUUGAGCCACUUCCUGUGGUCUAAAUCGAGGUUGUCACGGCGAGGCCGAGGCAUAUUGAAUUCAGAAAGGAGGCGAGUUGACUGGAAAACAUUCAUUACUUCAACAGUGGCUGGUGACACUUGGCCAAAAUAAAGGCCAUUUGUUUUGACUGCAGACUGAUGGCAAAUAGGUCAGGGUGACUUCAGAGGCACAAUAGAGUGAGCCGGGCCGGGGUUCUGUGGCCUCCUCAGCAACAAUCCACUUUAUCUGAGGGACUAAACCCUUGCCGCUCACUCUACUUAUCAUUACAUUGGCAAUCUUGGAAUACUCUUCAAUUGGUUCAUGUCAUGCCUACAAACUGGAAACUAUUCAGUUCAGAUGUGCAAUCUCUCCCAUCCUCCCCUGCCCCCCUUUCAUCUACAGGGUUCCCAGAGGGUCAAUUCUAGGUCCGGAAAUUCAUGUUUCCGUCUUUGCUGACGAUACACAGCUGUACCUCUCACUGAAAUGUCCCAAAAACGUACUUAUGCAAAUUUACAAUCCAAUGAAUUUUGCCCCCAGACAAUAUAAAUAUGUUUCAAACAAAUGUUCUAAUUUUCUUUUGUAGAUUAUUAUGAGCGUUUUUUUGACUAAAACACUGCAUUCUUGGUUGUAGUUGGGCUAUUUGUGCUUGGACAUAAGGAUAUAUAUGUAUGAGAAUUUGAAAUAAGGCAAAUUACACAUUUGUAACAAAUAAAAUAGUUUAUAGUUCAGGCCUACUGUUGUUCAGCUGGUACCCUCACCGUAUACUGUAAUAAACAAUAUAAAAAACUAAACACAAAAUAAAAGUAAAAUACCUGACACACACACACACACACACACACACACACACACACACACACACACACACACACACACACACACACACACACACACACACACACACACACACACACACACACACACACACACACACACACACACACA